RNAcentral lists this ribosomal RNA (497 nucleotides) under uncultured bacterium. RNAcentral's name for it is "partial 16S ribosomal RNA". It matches the Rfam family "Bacterial small subunit ribosomal RNA", at positions 28 to 507 of the family's 1533-position model. The record is from RNAcentral.
GAUGAACGCUGGCGGCGUGCCUAAUACAUGCAAGUCGAGCGAACAGACGAGGAGCUUGCUCCUCUGACGUUAGCGGCGGACGGGUGAGUAACACGUGGAUAACCUACCUAUAAGACUGGGAUAACUUCGGGAAACCGGAGCUAAUACCGGAUAACAUGUUGAACCGCAUGGUUCAACAGUGAAAGACGGUCUUGCUGUCACUUAUAGAUGGAUCCGCGCCGCAUUAGCUAGUUGGUAAGGUAACGGCUUACCAAGGCAACGAUGCGUAGCCGACCUGAGAGGGUGAUCGGCCACACUGGAACUGAGACACGGUCCAGACUCCUACGGGAGGCAGCAGUAGGGAAUCUUCCGCAAUGGGCGAAAGCCUGACGGAGCAACGCCGCGUGAGUGAAGAAGGUCUUCGGAUCGUAAAACUCUGAUAUUAGGGAAGAACAAAUGUGUAAGUAACUAUGCACGUCUUGACGGUACCUAAUCAGAAAGCCACGGCUAACUACGUG